GUAUAGGAAACGACAGCAUAGUGAAGGAUUGGCGACAUAAACUUUAGUAUUCGAAUGGGCAAACAAGAAAACAAAUUCUAACAUUAAACUAUUUCGAGUGAAAACUAUGGAUAAUUUCAUUCAAUAAAACGAUGGUAUUGGAAUAAGUGUAUUCCUUCAAACAAACUAAAAAGGACAGUAAAAGAAAGUUAAAACAUAAAACUUUCACAGCGUCUCUGUUACAUAAAAAUCAGAGUUGUUAGACACUAUAGGUCUGUGGCUAAUGGAAACAUGACAAGAUCACUUGAUCGUGAUUUGAAAACAAUCCAUGACUCAGUUGAUGGUUGUUUGGAUAUUGUCAAUAAGACGAGCUUUGCCAAGCCAAGCAGCUGCCAAAAUUACGACAUUUUUUGUGCCAGCAGUAAAAGGUUCUAAAGUCGUAGAGUCACAGAUUUCCAGUUGAUCGGGAAUGAAUCUACAACGUGAUAGCUCAGUAUUAGUUUCUGCAAUCAACUUCUCUAAGUCGCCAUUGCCAUUACUCAACUCUUGGGCUAAUUUU
This is a non-coding RNA of Schizosaccharomyces pombe (fission yeast), 538 nucleotides long. Lineage: Eukaryota; Fungi; Ascomycota; Schizosaccharomycetes; Schizosaccharomycetales; Schizosaccharomycetaceae. The record is from the annotation of a GenBank genome assembly.